AACGAACGCUGGCGGCGUGGAUAAGACAUGCAAGUCGAACGGGACUAAAUCUGUAGCAAUACAGGUUUAGUUUAGUGGCGAACGGGUGCGUAACACGUGGGCAAUCUGCCGAGAAGUGGGGGAUAGCUCGCCGAAAGGCGAAUUAAUACCGCAUAUGAUCAGUGAAGACAUCUUCACGACAUCAAAGCCGGGGUAACCUGGCGCUUCUUGAUGAGCCCGCGGCCUAUCAGCUAGUUGGUGAGGUAACGGCUCACCAAGGCUAUGACGGGUAGCUGGUCUGAGAGGACGACCAGUCACACUGGAACUGAGACACGGUCCAGACACCUACGGGUGGCAGCAGUCGAGAAUUUUUCUCAAUGGGGCAACCCUGAAGGAGCGACGCCGCGUGGAGGAUGAAGGCUUU
This 403-nucleotide ribosomal RNA is filed under the name uncultured bacterium. RNAcentral's name for it is "bacterial SSU rRNA". It matches the Rfam family "Bacterial small subunit ribosomal RNA", at positions 29 to 418 of the family's 1533-position model. The record is from RNAcentral.